AUGAAGGUAAAGGGACGUGGGUAGUGGGGGGAGCCGAGGGGCGACUUGAAAAUUAAACUGACCCCUCCUAAAUCCCAAGUAGAAGAGUCUAUGCGCACGAAAGAAACCAACACGCAAAGAAAACUAAAGCGCUGAUCAAAGAACAAUAGGGCCCCCGCCAGGGCAGAGGUUCCCUAGGCAACGAGGGAGAGAGGGAGGGGCCUCCAGAAGGGAGAGAGAGAAACCGGUUGCCCCAGGUUCGGUGAAGUCGGGGAGACCUCCCUCCGUGUCACCUCGACUUUCAAUAACAGUGGCCGCUAGGUGAUGCCCGAAGACAACCGAUGCCUGCAAAUGUCAGUCAGCACGGAAAAGAAUGUCCAAGGUACACCCUGGGAGACGGCAAGAGAAACAUUCACUCCGUGCUUUUUCUCUAUUUUUUUCAUCUUUUCCAUUUUACAAGAGAUGCUCAUUUCAACAACCAGACAGUGGAUGUGACAGGAGAAGUGUCAAGGCCAGGAGUUUGAGACCAGCAUGAGCAACCGAGCAACACAAUCCCUGUACUAAAAACGGAAAGAACCGACACAUGAGAAAUAUGACCUGAGCAUACUGUGCCCAAGAGUGUCGUCACAGCACUCUGGGAGGCCGAUGUGGGAGGAUCGCUGGAGCCUUAAAGUUUGACAUCACCUCGACAUGUGAGAUGACACCUGCAAUAAUAAUAAUCAUAGAAGUUUAAAAAGA
This is a long non-coding RNA of Pan troglodytes (chimpanzee), 717 nucleotides long. RefSeq lists it as uncharacterized. The transcript is spliced from 3 exons. The record is from RefSeq and is a predicted model, not a curated record. NCBI's taxonomy places the organism in Eukaryota, Metazoa, Chordata, Mammalia, Primates, Hominidae.